This 440-nucleotide ribosomal RNA is filed under the name uncultured bacterium. Its description in RNAcentral is "partial 16S ribosomal RNA". It matches the Rfam family "Bacterial small subunit ribosomal RNA", at positions 338 to 795 of the family's 1533-position model. The record is from RNAcentral.
CCUACGGGAGGCAGCAGUGGGGAAUAUUGCACAAUGGGGGAAACCCUGAUGCAGCGACGCCGCGUGAGUGAAGAAGGAAUUCGUUAUGUAAAGCUCUAUCAGUAGGGAAGAAAAUGACGGUACCUGAGUAAGAAGCCCCGGCUAACUACGUGCCAGCAGCCGCGGUUAUACGUAGGGGGCAAGCGUUAUCCGGAUUUACUGGGUGUAAAGGGAGCGUAGACGGGAGGGCAAGUCUGGAGUGAAAGGCGGGGGCUCAACCCCCGGACUGCACUGGAAACUGUACGGCUGGAGUGCAGGAGAGGUAAGCGGAAUGCCUAGUGUAGCGGUGAAAUGCGUAGAUAUUAGGAGGAACACCAGUGGCGAAGGCGGCAUACUGGACUGUAACUGACGCUGAGGCUCGAAAGCGUGGGGAGCAAACAGGAUUAGAUACCCCAGUAGUC